UACGUAGGGUGCGAGCGUUAAUCGGAAUUACUGGGCGUAAAGCGUGCGCAGGCGGUUCGUUGUGUCCGUCGUGAAAGCCCCGGGCUUAACCUGGGAACUGCGAUGGAAACUAGCGAGCUGGAGUGUGGCAGAGGGGGGUGGAAUUCCGCGUGUAGCAGUGAAAUGCGUAGAGAUGUGGAGGAAUACCGAUGGCGAAGGCAGCCCCCUGGGAUAACACUGACGCUCAUGCACGAAAGCGUGGGGAGCAAACAGG
This 253-nucleotide ribosomal RNA is filed under the name uncultured bacterium. RNAcentral's name for it is "partial 16S ribosomal RNA". It matches the Rfam family "Bacterial small subunit ribosomal RNA", at positions 524 to 776 of the family's 1533-position model. The record is from RNAcentral.